This 28-nucleotide non-coding RNA is filed under the name Mus musculus (house mouse). The record is from RNAcentral. Lineage: Eukaryota; Metazoa; Chordata; Mammalia; Rodentia; Muridae.
UAGGAGAGUCUUGUUUUGGGAACCUCCA